AUUGAACGCUGGCGGCAUGCUUUACACAUGCAAGUCGAACGGCAGCGCGGGCUUCGGCCUGGCGGCGAGUGGCGAACGGGUGAGUAAUACGUCGGAACGUGCCCAGUAGUGGGGGAUAGCUCGGCGAAAGCCGGAUUAAUACCGCAUACGACCUGAGGGUGAAAGCGGGGGAUCUUCGGACCUCGCGCUCUUGUAGCGGCCGAUGGCAGAUUAGCUAGUUGGUGGGGUAAAGGCCUACCAAGGCGACGAUCUGUAGCUGGUCUGAGAGGACGACCAGCCACACUGGGACUGAGACACGGCCCAGACUCCUACGGGAGGCAGCAGUGGGGAAUUUUGGACAAUGGGCGAAAGCCUGAUCCAGCAAUGCCGCGUGUGUGAUGAAGGCCUUCGGGUUGUAAAGCACUUUUGGCGGGAACGAAAAGGACUGUGCCAAUACCACGGUUCGAUGACGGUACCCGCAGAAUAAGCACCGGCUAACUACGUG
RNAcentral lists this ribosomal RNA (484 nucleotides) under uncultured bacterium. RNAcentral's name for it is "partial 16S ribosomal RNA". It matches the Rfam family "Bacterial small subunit ribosomal RNA", at positions 29 to 507 of the family's 1533-position model. The record is from RNAcentral.